GACUUCCCCGCUCUCUCGGCCUUAGCGCCAUCUUCCUUGGUGAGUGUCGUUGUAGCUGGUCUUCGGGCUUCGAGGACAAUCCGUUAACAUCUGACUUCUGCAGUUACCAUCAUCGCAGCAAAUUAACUGGGACCUUUUUUCUCUUUUGCCGUAGACACCCUUGCGCCAUGAGAGCGAAGUGGAGGAAGAAGAGAAUGCGCAGACUGAAGCGCAAGAGAAGAAAGAUGAGGCAGAGGUCCAAGUAAACUCGCCUGUCCACCCACGAAGGCCGCGGGAGCAGCAGUAAGGGACGCUGGGACAAGUCGGACUGAGCUGCAGUCGGAAGACAUCUGCGGACCCGCGAGCUCGCCACCUGCCGGCAUGACAGCAGCCCCGCCGGCCCUUUGCCCUGGACCUGUGGCGUUCUGGACUAGUUCUGUCCUCACUUGUGGCCAAUUGUAACGCGUGUACAAUAAACCAUCUUUGUCGCUGUCAGCUGAA
Arvicola amphibius (Eurasian water vole) is the source of this 480-nucleotide long non-coding RNA. RefSeq lists it as uncharacterized. The record is from RefSeq and is a predicted model, not a curated record. NCBI's taxonomy places the organism in Eukaryota, Metazoa, Chordata, Mammalia, Rodentia, Cricetidae. The transcript has 3 exons.